CAUCGAUGUCGGCCUUGGGCAGGCUCACAUCCACAUCUGGACCUUCUCCUUUGAAGCCAGGCAUGCUGAAUUUGGGCAUUUUCACCUUGGGCAUCUUCAGGUGCCAGUCUGGGCCAUGAACAUCCACAUCAGGGGUGUUGAUGUCCACUUUUGGGCCCUUGAUGUCAGCUUCUGGGCCCUUGAGGUCACCUUCCACUUUAGGAAGGGUAACAUCCACAUCGCCCUUCACUUUGGGUCCUUUCAGGUUUAAGUCAAUAUCAGGCAUGGAGAUCUUGGGGGCUUUGAUAUUCAUCUCUGGCAUCUUGAACUUAGGCCCUUUCAACUUUCCCUCUGGUCCUUCAAUGUUAACAUCAGGGCCUUCAAUGUCCACUUUGGGUCCUGAGACAUCAAUGUCAGCCUUGGGCAGCUUCACAUCCCCAUCUGGGCCCUCUCCUUUGAAGCCAGGCAUGCUGAACUUUGGCAUUUUCACCUUGGGCAUCUUCAGGUGCCAGUCUGGGCCUUGAACCUCCACAUCUGGGACAUCAAUGUCCAUUUUGGCACUUUUAAGUUCAACAUCAGGAACUUUAAUCUCACUUUCAACCUU
Molecule: long non-coding RNA, 583 nt
Filed under: Homo sapiens (human)
Lineage: Eukaryota; Metazoa; Chordata; Mammalia; Primates; Hominidae
Description: HSALNT0176058
Source: RNAcentral